CUGGUAAAAUAGCACGCUUAUCGAAAGGUAAGGUCGCAAAGUCUUGAAUCUACGGUAUAAUAUAUGCUAUGAUUGUCAGACUGCCGGA
This 88-nucleotide non-coding RNA is filed under the name Selenihalanaerobacter shriftii. Its description in RNAcentral is "c-di-GMP sequence". It matches the Rfam family "c-di-GMP-I riboswitch aptamer". Rfam says of the family: GEMM was predicted in a large-scale screen for bacterial structured RNA regulatory elements. Genes associated with GEMM are involved in a diverse array of functions, including chemotaxis regulation, signal transduction, secretion and chitin. Lineage: Bacteria; Bacillati; Bacillota; Clostridia; Halanaerobiales; Halobacteroidaceae. The record is from Rfam by way of RNAcentral.